This 460-nucleotide ribosomal RNA is filed under the name uncultured bacterium. RNAcentral describes it as "partial 16S ribosomal RNA". It matches the Rfam family "Bacterial small subunit ribosomal RNA", at positions 338 to 795 of the family's 1533-position model. The record is from RNAcentral.
CCUACGGGUGGCAGCAGUGAGGAAUAUUGGUCAAUGGACGAGAGUCUGAACCAGCCAAGUAGCGUGAAGGAUGACUGCCCUAUGGGUUGUAAACUUCUUUUAUAAAGGAAUAAAACGAGGCACGUGUGCCUUUUUGCAUGUACUUUAUGAAUAAGGAUCGGCUAACUCCGUGCCAGCAGCCGCGGUAAUACGGAGGAUCCGAGCGUUAACCGGAUUGAUAGGGUUUAAAGGGAGCGUAGAUGGGUUGUUAAGUCAGUUGUGAAAGUUUGCGGCUCAACCGUAAAAUUGCAAUUGAUACUGGCAGGCUUGAGUACAGUUGAGGUAAGCGGAAUUCGUGGUGUAGCGGUGAAAUGCAUAGAUAUCGCGCAGAACCCCGAUUGCGAAGGCAGCGUGCCGUGCCGCCACUGACGCUGAGGCGCGAAAGCGCGGGGAUCGAACAGGAUUAGAUACCCGGGUAGUC